This 77-nucleotide transfer RNA is filed under the name Sphaerodactylus townsendi. RNAcentral describes it as "tRNA-Ala". The record is from RNAcentral. Lineage: Eukaryota; Metazoa; Chordata; Lepidosauria; Squamata; Sphaerodactylidae.
GGGGCCGUGGCUCAGAGGCAGAGCCUCCGCCUGGCAUACAGAAGGCCCUGGGUUCAAUCUCCUCUGCUGUGGACCCU